RNAcentral lists this ribosomal RNA (580 nucleotides) under Kwoniella mangrovensis. RNAcentral's name for it is "partial large subunit ribosomal RNA". It matches the Rfam family "Eukaryotic large subunit ribosomal RNA", at positions 62 to 629 of the family's 3401-position model. The record is from RNAcentral. Lineage: Eukaryota; Fungi; Basidiomycota; Tremellomycetes; Tremellales; Cryptococcaceae.
AAACUAACAAGGAUUCCCUUAGUAACGGCGAGUGAACCGGGAAGAGCUCAAAUUUGAAAUCUGGCGUCCUCCGGGCGUCCGAGUUGUAAUCUAUAGAAGCGUUUUCCGCGCCGGACCGUGUAUAAGUCUCCUGGAACGGAGUAUCAAAGAGGGUGACAAUCCCGUGCUUUACACGACGACCGGUGCUAUGUGAUACGUUCUCUACGAGUCGAGUUGUUUGGGAAUGCAGCUCAAAACGGGUGGUAAACUCCAUCUAAAGCUAAAUAUUGGUGGGAGACCGAUAGCGAACAAGUACCGUGAGGGAAAGAUGAAAAGCACUUUGGAAAGAGAGUUAAACAGUAUGUGAAAUUGUUGAAAGGGAAACGAUUGAAGUCAGUCGUGUCCAUUGGGUUCAGCCGGUCCUGCCGGUCUACUCCCUUUGGACGGGUCAACAUCAGUUCUGACCGGCGGAUAAUGGCACGAGGAACGUGGCACCCUCCGGGGUGUGUUAUAGCCUCGCGUCGCAUACGCUGGUCGGGACUGAGGAACGCAGCUCGCCUUCAUGGCCGGGGUACGCCCACGUACGAGCUUAGGAUGUGAC